RNAcentral lists this unclassified non-coding RNA (198 nucleotides) under fungal sp. Its description in RNAcentral is "partial internal transcribed spacer region". The stretch from base 1 to 46 matches the Rfam family "Eukaryotic small subunit ribosomal RNA", at positions 1786 to 1831 of the family's 1831-position model. Lineage: Eukaryota; Fungi. The record is from RNAcentral.
AAGUCGUAACAAGGUUUCCGUAGGUGAACCUGCGGAAGGAUCAUUAACACGUAUCCAACGUUAAACAACCCUGUGAACCUUCAUUCCUGCUCUCCUCGUCCCUUGAUAAAGCAAUCCCUGGUAAAUCACGCGAACAGUUUGAUUCAGGGACCUCUUUUGAUACGCACUUGGAUUCGAACAAUGGAUAUCUUGGUUCUC